This 498-nucleotide ribosomal RNA is filed under the name uncultured Bacillota bacterium. RNAcentral describes it as "bacterial SSU rRNA". Lineage: Bacteria; Bacillati; Bacillota. The record is from RNAcentral.
GAGUUUGAUCAUGGCUCAGGACGAACGCUGGCGGCGUGCCUAAUACAUGCAAGUCGAGCGGAUGAAGAGAGAAGCUUGCUUCUCUYUGAUUUAGCGGCGGACGGGUGAGUAACACGUGGGUAACCUACCUUAUAGAUUGGGAUAACUCCGGGAAACCGGGGCUAAUACCGAAUAAUACUUUUAAACACAUGUUUGGAAGUUGAAAGACGGUUUCGGCUGUCACUAUAAGAUGGACCCGCGGCGCAUUAGCUAGUUGGUGAGGUAACGGCUCACCAAGGCAACGAUGCGUAGCCGACCUGAGAGGGUGAUCGGCCACACUGGGACUGAGACACGGCCCAGACUCCUACGGGAGGCAGCAGUAGGGAAUYUUCCACAAUGGACGAAAGUCUGAUGGAGCAACGCCGCGUGAGUGAAGAAGGAUUUCGGUUCGUAAAACUCUGUUGCAAGGGAAGAACAAGUAGCGUAGUAACUGGCGCUACCUGACGUACCUGUGAGACC